Molecule: long non-coding RNA, 1067 nt
Filed under: Homo sapiens (human)
Lineage: Eukaryota; Metazoa; Chordata; Mammalia; Primates; Hominidae
Description: HSALNT0393519
Source: RNAcentral
AAAAAAGAAGAAGAAGAAGAAGAAGAAGAAGAAGAAGAAGAAGAAGAAGAAGAAGAGAAACACAAGAGGCAGAGACCAUAGCUUCUGUGAAGAAGAAUCCCAAGAGAGGAUGGUGUCCUGAAGCCCUCCGGAAAGGAGAGGAUUUUAAGAAUGUGGUCAAGAGAGGAAAAGAAAGAUGCUAAAAACUGUCCAAAAGAUUUGGCUACUAAGUCACUGGUGUCCUUAAAGAGAGCAGGUUUGGUGGGGUUGUGAGAGCCCAAAGUCUGUACCAUUUUGCCCUACCUUCUCUGAAUAGAUUCUAUUCAGCUAUAUUUAUCUAAAAAUGUGGGACUGGGUUAGCAGAGAGGGGCAGAGGCACAGGGAACACUCUGUCUUAACUCCAGCAGCAGCUGUGCUGUCAUGGGAGCUCAAAGCCAUGGCAUGUCAGUUUACGGGCCUGUUCUUGGCUCUGGGUGUGCUGCCAUCUCCACCUGUGAGCUUAUUUUGGGACAUGCAAAAUAUUUAUUUGCAAAAGUACACAACAGCAGACAGCAUGAAAUAAUGGGCCUCAUAAAUAUCCUACAACUGCAACAGCAACACCAAAUGCCUAGGUUAGUGGACUGAAGGAAGAAGGGCACUUCAGGUGAAGGCUGAUGUCCACCUGCUUACUUAUUCAGUUCACUCUUCCAGGAGGCUCCAUCAUGCAGAAUUAUUUUCUUUUGGUGUUAUAUUCUAUCUUAUCUUUCCCGCCCUAUGCAUUAAAAACAGAUUGUGUUUUUGUUUGUUUGGGGUGUACAUUGACCUAAAAUUAAGGGAUUACAAUUUGGUCAUAAAUUGUAAUCCCAUCAUUUUAAUAGAGGCCAUGCCUCUAAGAAUACAUUAAUGAUUGUUAGCUUGUCUUCAUAUUCUCUACUUUGAUGUCCUUCUGUCGCUCUGGAGAGCCAUCUAGUCUUUUAAAAGAGCACGGUUGCACAUUUGUUAAGGCAUAAGGGGGCUAACUUGUUCUUUUCUGUAUAUGACUCUACCAACUGUGACCUUACAAAGCAGAAAGGAGAUAUCUACAGUAUUAUGGUGACGAUUUGUGGAGG